Mustela erminea (ermine) is the source of this 207-nucleotide long non-coding RNA. RefSeq lists it as uncharacterized. The record is from RefSeq and is a predicted model, not a curated record. The transcript is spliced from 2 exons. NCBI's taxonomy places the organism in Eukaryota, Metazoa, Chordata, Mammalia, Carnivora, Mustelidae.
AAGAAUCAGAUGCUCUUCUGCCUGAGCCAUCCAGGCGCUCCAGCAUUAUGUGAAUUUCAAAUGAAAGAAAUGGAUGGUAUUAUCCAGGAAAAGAGUACAAAUAGAGAAGAAACAGAGGUCCUUGAGGUACCCCUAUUUAAGGUUGAGUUGAAGAGGAAAAGCCAACAAAAUUAAGAGGACCAGGAAUUCUAUUACUUACCCUCAAGA